CGUUAGGGCAGGUGUGAGGGGUGACAGGGCGAGUUUGGGAAGCUGCCGCCGGGGCCUUUGGUGCCGGUAUCGACCCGAGCGGCCCGGCGCUGAGGUGAUGGCCGCUGCGGCUGAGGUGAUGGCGGCGGCGGCCUCGUCGGGCAGGGCGGGAAGCGGCCGGGCCGUGAGGGAGGUGAGGGCCCGCGGUCAAACGCACCUCACUUACCCCCCCGCAAAUGCUCCCGGGUCCCGGUGACCCCUCUGCGUCGCGGCGAGGGGCCGUCCGAGGUGUAAAUCACGAAAAAAACCUCAUCCCUCUUUCCCCGCCGUCGACCGCUGCCCCCUCCGUCCCGUCACGCAGUCCCGAGCGGCGCCUCCGCCGUGAGCCCGCCGCCGCCGGGCCCGCAGGAGCCCCCCGCCGUGUCCCCUCAGCCCCUGAGGCAGGGGGUCGCUGCCUUCUGCCCGGCGGGUUUCAGCCCCGGGGGUCCGGGGAGAGCACCGACCGCCUGGAAGGUCUGAGCAAAACCCUGCCUGCGAGCCAGUGGUUAACGCUGUUCCGUAACUAUCUCGACAGGACGCUAUAAAUCCCUAACUAUUUCUGCGGGAGAGUGGAAGAGGUAAAGGCUGCAGAAGUAAAAAAGGCUAUUUCCUGUCGAUCGGCUGCUGAUAGCUGUCUGGCCAAAGUGGUUGUUGAAGAAAUUGCUUAAAGGUUUAAAAUGGCUUCUCAUUGGAAUCACUUGGAAGAAAUGGAUAACACUUGGAAAAUCUGCUUGAUAGCAAUCUGUGGAGGUUUCUUGAAAUGGUACAGCUUUGAAGGUGUUUAUAUUUUCAUGAGGACAGGACAAGAGAAGAAAGUAAAUCAUUCUUGGCAACUAUUUUUGUAAGGUAGAACUACUGAUACACAGUAAGUCACAUGGAAUUCUGAUAGAAGCCUUCUGGCCCUAAAUUCUCCAUUUUAUAUACCUGAAAGAGGUACUAAAACUAUUAUUUCAAGUCAGACAAUGGAACACAAGGACAAAGAAAAAAUAUGAUUGUAUUGAUACGUGAGCAAAGGUCAACCAACCAGAGAGAAGCAGAUUUCACUACUGGAUGGAGAAAGUUCCCUAACAUGCUGGAAAACCAAGGUGAACUGGAAAGGUAGCAGCAGAGGUACAUUCAAGUAAAUGGUUAUAUCAUAUUCUUGGGAGAAAAAUCUUAGGAAAACCACCAGAUUCCAUUUUAAGACAAGAACAACUCCAACUGUGAUCCUUUCUGAAAAGCAACAAUGUAAAAACCUGUUUCCUACAGAUACAGGAUUUCUUUUGUAAAGUAAACCUAUCUGGUAUGUCUGAUUAUUUUUAUAUUUUUUCCUUGUUUGAUCAGAGUGUAUUCUGAGCUCAGUUUUAUGUAUAAGUUGGUGCUCAUGGAUGCAUUUGGGCUUCUCUUGGAUAAGGACUGUGUGGGCUUUUGAACAAUAGUCUGCCAAGCAAUGUAUCAUGAAUCCUAAUUGUUUGAGAAAACAGUUGUUCUUUUUCUCCAGCAAAUACUGUUGUAUCCACAUUAUUAACAUAGUUAUGUAUAGUCGUUUUGAAAAUCAUUUUCAGUUUGAAGAAUUCUAAUGCUUCAUACAGUGAUUAUGCAAAAGUCUCAUGUAUAAGCAAUACCGAUGUUACUGGAAGCGCCUCAUAUAGAGUCCAAAUAUAGCAGAUCAAAUCAAAACUGUGCUACAUCUUAAGCAACUGUUGACCCAUUUCCAUAUCAAAUUGGUUUCUGUCAUAGAAGACUUUGCUUUUUCUUUUAGAGAUAUUUACUUGUUCUGUGCUGCUCAAGUACUGCAAUGGCGCAUUUCAUUCUAAGGUCACUUAAUUAUGGGUCAAUUGAUUUUUAUCUUCGUUUGUUUAUUAACAACUUUCUA
Molecule: long non-coding RNA, 1873 nt
Organism: Oxyura jamaicensis (ruddy duck)
Lineage: Eukaryota; Metazoa; Chordata; Aves; Anseriformes; Anatidae
Exons: 6
Source: RefSeq, a predicted model, not a curated record